UAAUACGUACUGUGCGAACGUUAUUCGGAAUCACUGGGCUUAAAGGGUGCGUAGGCGGUCAGAUAAGUAGGAUGUGAAAUCCCCCGGCCUAACCGAGGAACUGCGUUCUAAACUGUCUGACUUGAGUGAGAUAGAGGUGUGCAGAACUUCUAGUGGAGCGGUGAAAUGUGUUGAUAUUAGAAGGAACGCCGGUGGCGAAAGCGGCACACUGGGUCUCAACUGACGCUGAGGCACGAAAGCUAGGGUAGCGAACGGGAUUAGAUACCCCGGUAGUCCUAGCUGUAAACGAUGAGUACUAGACGGGAGGGGCUUCGGCCUUUCCCGUUGCAGCGAAAGCAUUAAGUACUCCGCCUGGGGAGUAUGGUCGCAAGGCUG
This 375-nucleotide ribosomal RNA is filed under the name uncultured Planctomycetota bacterium. RNAcentral's name for it is "bacterial SSU rRNA". It matches the Rfam family "Bacterial small subunit ribosomal RNA", at positions 521 to 896 of the family's 1533-position model. Lineage: Bacteria; Pseudomonadati; Planctomycetota. The record is from RNAcentral.